Molecule: long non-coding RNA, 589 nt
Filed under: Capsicum annuum
Lineage: Eukaryota; Viridiplantae; Streptophyta; Magnoliopsida; Solanales; Solanaceae
Description: long non-coding RNA (CANN_LNC001459)
Source: RNAcentral
UUAAGUGCCGGUGACUUUAAAAGUGAAUUUUUGUUUAGAAGGUGAUGUUGUUGGUUACUUUAUUUGUUGAAAAUGCUUAAGUGCCGGUGACUUUAAUAGUGAAUUAGUUUCGUCGGUGCCUUUGUUAGUUGAAAAAGCUUGAGUUUUGGUGACUUUAAUAGUGAACUAGUGUUUAGAAGGUGAUGUUGUUGGUGACUUUAUUUGUUGAAAAUGCUUAAAUUUUGUUGACUUUAAUAGUGAAUUAGUGUUUAGGAGGUGAUGUUGUUGGUGACUUUAUUUGUUGAAAAUGCUUAAGUGCCAGUGACUUUAACAGUGAAUUAGUGUUUAGGAGGUGAUAUUGUUAGUGAUCUUAUUUGUUGAAAAUACUUAAGUGCCGGUGACUUUAAAAGUGAACUUUUGUUUAGAAGGUGAUGUUGUUGGUUACUUUAUUUGUUGAAAAUGCUUAAGUGUCAGAGACUUUAAUGGUGAAUUAGUGUUUAGGUGAUGUUGUCGGUGACUUUAUUUGUUGAAAAUGCUUAAGUGCCGGUGACUUUAAUAGUGAAUUAGUGUUUAGGAGGUGAUGUUGUUGGUGACUUUAUUUCUUGAAAAU